This 440-nucleotide ribosomal RNA is filed under the name uncultured bacterium. RNAcentral's name for it is "bacterial SSU rRNA". It matches the Rfam family "Bacterial small subunit ribosomal RNA", at positions 1089 to 1530 of the family's 1533-position model. The record is from RNAcentral.
GCGAGGGGGGCGACGCACGUCCUUAGGUGACAUCAUUCAGUUGGGCAGUGUAGGGAGACUACCAGGAAUAAGCCGCGGAGAAGGUGUGGAUGAGGUCAAGUCCUCAUGGCCCGUACGGGAUGGGCUAGGCACGUGCUACAAUGGCGGGGACAGUGGGACGCGGAACCGCGAGGUUGAGCAAAUCCCCAAAAACCGUCUCAGUUCAGAUUGCACUCUGCAACUCGAGUGCAUGAAGGCGGAAUCGCUAGUAAUCGUGGAUCAGCAUGCCACGGUGAAUACGUUCCCGGGCCUGGUACACACCGCCCGUCACACCAUGGGAGUUGGUCUUACCCGACGGCGCUGCGCCAACCGCAAGGAGGCAGGCGACCACGGUAGGGUCAGCGACUGGGGUGAAGUCGUAACAGGGUAGCCGUAGGGGAACCUGCGGCUGGAUCACCUCC